Molecule: transfer RNA, 70 nt
Filed under: Camelus bactrianus (Bactrian camel)
Lineage: Eukaryota; Metazoa; Chordata; Mammalia; Artiodactyla; Camelidae
Also listed under: 2 other names
Rfam family: tRNA
About the family: Transfer RNA (tRNA) molecules are approximately 80 nucleotides in length. Their secondary structure includes four short double-helical elements and three loops (D, anti-codon, and T loops).
Source: Rfam by way of RNAcentral
GAGGGUAUAGCUCAGGGGUAGAGUGCAGCCUAGCAUGCAUGAGGUCCUGGGUUCAAUCCCCAGUGCUCCA